Non-coding RNA from Podarcis lilfordi (Lilford's wall lizard), 73 nucleotides. NCBI's taxonomy places the organism in Eukaryota, Metazoa, Chordata, Lepidosauria, Squamata, Lacertidae. The record is from the annotation of a GenBank genome assembly.
UCUCUCUCUCUCUCUCUCUCUCUCUCUGUGUGUGUGUGUGUGUGUGAGAGAGAGAGAGAGAGAGAGAGGGAGG